RNAcentral lists this small RNA (125 nucleotides) under Marmota monax (woodchuck). Lineage: Eukaryota; Metazoa; Chordata; Mammalia; Rodentia; Sciuridae. The record is from RNAcentral.
GCUGGGCAUGGUGGUGUAUGCCUGUAAUCCCAGCAUCUUGGGAGGCUGAGACAGGAGGAUCGUGAGUUCAAAGCCAGCCUCAGCAAUGGUGAGGAGCUAGGCAAUUCAGUGAGACCCUGUCUCUA